Molecule: long non-coding RNA, 648 nt
Organism: Mirounga angustirostris (Northern elephant seal)
Lineage: Eukaryota; Metazoa; Chordata; Mammalia; Carnivora; Phocidae
Exons: 5
Source: RefSeq, a predicted model, not a curated record
UAGUUGACUUUUUGGAGCAGAUCUGUGGUGAUGAUGGUGCCGCUUCCAUUCUAGAAUGUAUUGUCAAGUUUGAAAAACCAAACUUAACAGGAGAUAUUCAUUCACACACUGAAGCUCUUUCAAAUGAGAGCAUCCAGAGCAGUGACUGGUCAAGAAGAUCUGUGCCUCAAUUCCCAACUCCUUUGAAUUCAAUAGGGGAAUGUCCUGAAGUCCCAAUCAGAUAUGACUGGAUAUUUUUCAUCUUCAUCAAGACAUUUGUCUGCUUCAAGAGUGGCAUAGUGCCUGGCACAGAGGAAACCCUCGUGCAAUGUUUGCUGAACAAGACAUCUUAAUAUCCAUGAAGACCUGCCUAUGUAAGGGAUGAAGCAAAAAAGGGACAAUGCAUAAUACAUUGACGAAGUCUCCAGGAUUUGAAGCUGGACCAAAACCCAGCUAUAGCAUUUAUUAGCUACUUCACUUCGAACAAGUUAACCUCUCUAGGAAUCAAUGAUCUUACCAGAGAAGCACAGGUGUCUUCAGUGCCUAUUCCAGAUGAAAAUACCUUCAUGGAAGCGACAUCCCUGUCAACUGAAUUUUCAUAUCUCCCCAUUAAAUGGUAAGAAUGUGAUUGGAAUGUUACAUUUAUGAGGCAGGUUUUGAAACCUCUGA